Molecule: long non-coding RNA, 981 nt
Organism: Salvia miltiorrhiza (redroot sage)
Lineage: Eukaryota; Viridiplantae; Streptophyta; Magnoliopsida; Lamiales; Lamiaceae
Exons: 3
Source: RefSeq, a predicted model, not a curated record
UCACAAAGCAGACAGAUUUAACUGCUGUUUGUCUCAUGAUUCUAGUGGUAUUUCAUCAGCUCGUGUCCGGGAACGCCCGUCUCCCCCUCCUCGUGAAUCCUCAAACCCUACAACUGUCUGAAUACGUUACGAUAACUGGUUGUAGCAGUGACUGUGAUGUAGCCUGCUGUUACUGUGAUAUCACGACACAGCCACCGAUCUGCGUCCAGUGCUGCCAAGGCGAUCCUUGAUCUGCAAAUGCACGAUGAUAUCCAAAGCUCAAGAAAAAGAAAUUACAGCUCAGAAGAAGUGGCCAUAAGGUGCUUCCUUUGAUUCACCAAGAAGUAGUCAACCAGAAUCUUAAAGCGCAUAUGUGAGAAAGAUGGAUUUCAAUGUCACAAGCAGUAUAAGAAUAAGCAGGAAAAAUCCGAGGAUUACACAAAAGAACUCGGCUUCUCAAAAUUCUUUUAUUAUGUUUCUUAUUUAUGUAGAACACAUGCUACUUUCUAUGUCAGAGAACACCAACCAUUUGGUUCUUGCAAGACACGGCACUUUUUAAGCAGCAAGGGAAAGCUGGCUUUUCGGCUAUUACCUGACUAAAAUUGUGGCAGAAAUUAAUGCUUUCUUGAAAGUCCUAAAAACACAGCUGCAGAUGAGAUUUGAACUCUAAGAUCAGCGAUAUCAAGAUCAUGGCCACCUUCAACCAAACCCCACCGAUCAACCUGUAAAUCUUCUUCCAGCCUAAUCAACUCAAUGGCUUGCUCAAUGCUCAACUUACCACGAAACAUGCCAACUGCAAUAACCAUAGAGUGUGCAGCUGCAGCAAUUGCAUCGAUUGCAGCUAGUUCACAAUCAUCUGUCUUCUUAAGAAUGUUCUCAAAGGCCUUAACCAGACCCUCUUCCUGCUUUCCACCAAAGAAACUUGUGUACACAGCGGGCUUAAAGCCAAAUUCCAAUUCCACCCAUUUAAUUAGGGGCCCGAAUUUCUCCACUUGCAGUUCU